AGCAGUCGCCGCGGGAAUACGUAGGUGGCAAGCGUUGUCCGGAAUUAUUGGGCGUAAAGCGCGCGCAGGCGGAUAGGUCAGUCUGUCUUAAAAGUUCGGGGCUUAACCCCGUGAUGGGAUGGAAACUGCCAAUCUAGAGUAUCGGAGAGGAAAGUGGAAUUCCUAGUGUAGCGGUGAAAUGCGUAGAUAUUAGGAAGAACACCAGUGGCGAAGGCGACUUUCUGGACGAAAACUGACGCUGAGGCGCGAAAGCCAGGGGAGCGAACGGGAUUAGAUACCCCUGUAGUCCCUGUCUCUUAUACA
Molecule: ribosomal RNA, 303 nt
Filed under: uncultured bacterium
Lineage: Bacteria
Description: partial 16S ribosomal RNA
Rfam family: Bacterial small subunit ribosomal RNA
Source: RNAcentral